GCCAGGUGUGGCAGCACACGCCUGUAAUCCCAGCUACUCAGGAGGCUGAGGCAGGAGAAUUGCUUGAGCCUGGGAGAUGGAGGUUGCAGUGAGCCGAGAUUAUGCCACUGCACUCCAGCCUGGGUGACAGAGCAAGACCCUGCCUCAA
RNAcentral lists this small RNA (148 nucleotides) under Pongo abelii (Sumatran orangutan). Its description in RNAcentral is "Metazoan signal recognition particle RNA (ENSPPYG00000034238.1)". The record is from Rfam by way of RNAcentral. Lineage: Eukaryota; Metazoa; Chordata; Mammalia; Primates; Hominidae.